AUACGGAGGGUGCAAGCGUUAUCCGGAUUUAUUGGGUUUAAAGGGUUCGUAGGCGGACAAGUCAGUCAGUGGUGAAAGCCUGUGGCUCAACCAUAGAACUGCCAUUGAUACUGCUUGUCUCGAGUACACUUGAAGUGGGCGGAAUGAGUUAUGUAGCGGUGAAAUGCAUAGAUAUAACUUAGAACACCGAUUGCGAAGGCAGCUCACUAAAUUGUAACUGACGCUGAGGAACGAAAGCGUGGGGAGCGAACAGGAUUAGAAACCCUAGUAGUCC
This 274-nucleotide ribosomal RNA is filed under the name uncultured bacterium. RNAcentral describes it as "partial 16S ribosomal RNA". It matches the Rfam family "Bacterial small subunit ribosomal RNA", at positions 523 to 796 of the family's 1533-position model. The record is from RNAcentral.